AGAAUGGUCAAUUUUCAUUGUUUUCAUGUGGCUUUCCAGUAUUCCCAGCAUCAUUUGUUGAAAAGACUUUCUUUUCUCCAUUGUAUGCCCUCAGCUCCUUUGUCAAAGAUAAGCUGUCCAUAGAUGUGUGGUUUUAUUUCUGGGCUUUCAAUUUUGUUCCAUUGAUCUGUGCACCUGUUUUUGUACCAGUACUAUGCCUUGGCCUUCUCCCGGCCCACAGGGUGGCCAGUGUUUCUGCGGAGCAGGGGCGACGAUGCCUCUGGAUGCCAGGGCCAACACACCGAUCCGGAGGACGACGGGGGCAUCCAAGACAGCCUGUGUUGCAGAUACCAAGAUCUCUGGAACUAAGGAAAGAUAUUACUGAUUUGAAAGAAACCACUUCACAAAAAGUACCAUUUUCACUUGAUGAAAAAAUUCUAAAACAGCAAAUCAAUGUAAAACCCAAACACAGCAGUGACGGGAUCCUAUGCUGAAGAUCAACAUCACAACCACAAAGCACUCCCCAAGGUUUUUACUGCAAAGGCUGGUUGGACGGGAGAAAUCCCAGCCCUUCGGCCUCCAACUGCGCUAAGUCAGUGAGGAGACCCACACACGGUUAUGAGAGACCUUAACCCUUGCUGCUCUCAGUUCCCAUCCUGCACAUCAGCGGAAUCAGGAGCAACUGGCAGAAGACAACAUGACAGACCGGGCGUUCUGUGCCACCAGCUGGGCUGUGCAAGGAGCAGACAGCACUAACUAUGCAGUGCUCUUGCUGACAAGGUUUAGCCUGAAUUCAGUCAUGAGGUAGUCCUAGAAGGUUAAAUCAUCUUUUGUCCUGUGUGUCAAGUUCUGUAGGGACCUUUUUAGACCAUUAACCCACCUGUAAACAGGGCUCCUGAGAGUUUGGUUAUUUGUGCCACAGCAAGAUGGAGGACCCUGGUGUUUGGAGACCUUUUUUAGUACCAGCCUUGACGUGAACUGUUUGCUAAGAUUUUGGGCAAGUCAUUUCACCUUUCUCAGCUUUAAUUUCUUUUUUUUUUAUUGAGUUAUUGAUAGGUUACAAUCUUGUGAAAUUUCAAUUGUACAUUAAUGUUUGUCAGUCAUGUUGUAGGUGCACCACUUCACCCUUUGUGCCCACCCCCCACCCCACCUUUCCCCUGGUAUCCACUAAACUGUUCUUGAUCCAUAGUUUUAAAUUCCUCAUAUGAGUGGAGUCAUACACAGAUUAUCUUUCUCUCGCUGGCUUAUUUCACUUAACAUAAUCCUCUCAAGGUCCAUCCAUGUUAUUGCAAAUGAAAUGAUUUUGUUCUGUUUUGCAGCUGAG
Molecule: long non-coding RNA, 1303 nt
Filed under: Equus caballus (horse)
Lineage: Eukaryota; Metazoa; Chordata; Mammalia; Perissodactyla; Equidae
Description: lncRNA (ENSECAG00000057770.1)
Source: RNAcentral